CCGAGUUUAAGCAUAUCAUAAGCGGAGGAGAAGAAACUUACGAGGAUUCCCCUAUAANCGGCGAGCGANCCGGGAUAGNCCCAGNCAUNGGAAUCGGGAUNCCUGCAGCAGCCCGAAUUGUAGUCUGGAGAAGCGUCNUCAGCGACGGACCGGGCCCAAUCCCCUGGAAAGGGGCGCCGGGGAGGGUGAGAGCCCCGUUCGGCCUGAACCCCUAUCCCAACACGAGGGCGUUGUCGGCGAGUCGGGUUGUUUGGGAAUGCAGCCCUAAUCGGGCGAUAAAUUCCGUCCAAGGCUAAAUAUAGGCGAGAGACCGAUAGCGAACAAGUACCGCGGGGGAAAGAUGAAAAGGACUUUGAAAAGAGAGUCAAAGAGUGCUUGAAAUUGUCGGGAGGGAAGCGGAUGGGGGCCGGCGGUGCGCCUCGGCCUGAAGCGGAAUGGUUGUGGCUUGUUCGCUGCUCGGCUCGAGGCGCGGAUCGUUGCAGGCCUUCCCGACGGCAGGAGCCCGGGCGAUCGAUGCUCGAGGAGGCACCGUCGGGGCGGUCGGCCAACACAGCACGCGCUGAUCAGGCGAGCCUUACAGGGCUCUCGCGUGUCCGUCGCAACGGCCCGUGGGCUCCCCAUUCGACCC
RNAcentral lists this ribosomal RNA (628 nucleotides) under Dendrobium virgineum. Its description in RNAcentral is "eukaryotic LSU rRNA". It matches the Rfam family "Eukaryotic large subunit ribosomal RNA", at positions 28 to 650 of the family's 3401-position model. The record is from RNAcentral. Lineage: Eukaryota; Viridiplantae; Streptophyta; Magnoliopsida; Asparagales; Orchidaceae.